AAUAUUUAAUCAAAAUAGGCAAAAUUACCCGAGAGCCAUAAUUACGCUCAUCAUUGCCUUACUUCGAUAUUCUUACAUCGGAACAAUCCGAACUUAAAUAUCAUACUCAACAGUCGUAAAUACAACCUCUCCAAAAUACGACUUAAAUCCUACGGCCGGAUUCUACAUUAAUUAACCGCAAAAAAUACCAAACUUCGGAAAUUCACAAACCUAUCCAAAUCUCAUCCAAAAAUUCCAUAAUUCACUUCAAUAAUAUCCCCUUAAUAUUCUACAUCAAAAACCACAAAAUUUCCCAAAACAGCGGCGGCUCCGCCGGCAGCGGCGGCCGGCGACCAACUCCGGCAACCUGCAAAUGCUACCAAAUUUUAACAGAAUCUUCCUCUCAAUCUCCUCUACAACUUUCAUGACCAACACAAACUCCAAUUCUAAGCCUAACCAUGUCGAUUGAACACAAACAACCAUAAAUCCCUAAAACUUUCAAUUAUACAAACCACCCUAACGAAAUCGAAUUAAGCCGAAACCUUUUGAGGGAUUACUCACCUAGAUGAGGGCUACAAGUCGAGCCAAAAAUCACGACCUAUGGUGGCCGGAGGACGGAGCUCCGGCGAAGACACAGUCGGCGGUUCCGGCGGCUUUUUCUCCUCUCCGGCGGGUUAGAGGCUCGGGGGCUAGGCCGGGGAGGGAGAGGAGGUGACAGGGGUCCGAUCUGGGCUGGAGCGGCGGCAGCUGGUGGCCGGACGGCGGCGGGCUGCGGUGGCGAAUUUUUCCGGGUGGAGGGAGAAGAAACUCGGGUGGGAAGAGAGAAAACGGGAGGGAGAGAGAGAGAAAGGGAAAAGAAGAAGAAAUGGGUUGGGCUCGGCCCAGCCGACCCAACUCUCCUUUUAACCCAAAUUCCAAAAUUUAACACCCCGAAAAAUAAUACCCGAAUAAAAAUUACCUUUUACUAGCUAAAAUUUACUAUUUUUACCGUCGUCGUAUUUUCCUCAUACGAAUAAUCCUCCGCACAUAAUCGUCCCCGAAACCCU
RNAcentral lists this long non-coding RNA (1025 nucleotides) under Fragaria vesca (wild strawberry). RNAcentral's name for it is "long non-coding RNA (FVES_LNC004374)". The record is from RNAcentral. Lineage: Eukaryota; Viridiplantae; Streptophyta; Magnoliopsida; Rosales; Rosaceae.